This 229-nucleotide long non-coding RNA is filed under the name Brassica napus (rape). RNAcentral describes it as "long non-coding RNA (BNAP_LNC003192)". Lineage: Eukaryota; Viridiplantae; Streptophyta; Magnoliopsida; Brassicales; Brassicaceae. The record is from RNAcentral.
CACAGUGAUUAACCGAUGUGGCUUGACUUUCUGAUUCCGGAAGCUGACGAAACCCUUUUUAUUCUUCCAAAUCCUCGUCUUGAUUCUGUACCGUUAAUCCCGCAAUCUUGUAACACGUCUUGCCUUUCUAAGCAGCUCCUUAAAUUAUUUAUCAUUAUUUUUUUUUUCUAUUUCUUUUCUUCUUUUCUUUCUUCUCUUUAUUUCUUUUCUCUUCUUGCUCUCCUUUCUU